GAUGAACGCUGACAGAAUGCUUAACACAUGCAAGUCAACUUGAACUUCGGUUUGGGUGGCGGACGGGUGAGUAACGCGUAAAGAACUUGCCUCACAGCUAGGGACAACAUUUGGAAACGAAUGCUAAUACCUGAUAUUAUGAUUAUAUGGCAUCGUAUAAUUAUGACAGCUAUAUGCGCUGUGAGAGAGCUUUGCGUCCCAUUAGCUAGUUGGAGAGGUAACAGCUCACCAAGGCGAUGAUGGGUAGCCGGCCUGAGAGGGUGAUCGGCCACAAGGGGACUGAGACACGGCCCUUACUCCUACGGGAGGCAGCAGUGGGGAAUAUUGGACAAUGGACCGAGGGUCUGAUCCAGCAAUUCUGUGUGCACGAUGAAGUUUUUCGGAAUGUAAAGUGCUUUCAGUUGGGAAGAAAAAAAUGACGGUACCAACAGAAGAAGUGACGGCUAAAUACGUG
RNAcentral lists this ribosomal RNA (454 nucleotides) under uncultured bacterium. Its description in RNAcentral is "partial 16S ribosomal RNA". It matches the Rfam family "Bacterial small subunit ribosomal RNA", at positions 28 to 507 of the family's 1533-position model. The record is from RNAcentral.